GCUCAGUGGUUAGAGCGUCGGCUUGUGCGCCGAAGGUUCCAGGGUUCAAUUCCCCG
Molecule: transfer RNA, 56 nt
Filed under: Myotis davidii
Lineage: Eukaryota; Metazoa; Chordata; Mammalia; Chiroptera; Vespertilionidae
Source: Rfam by way of RNAcentral